AAAUUUUAUAAUAAAUGUUAGUUUAUCGAGUAAUUUUACACGCGUGCAAGUUUUGUCUAUGUAGAAACAGGAAAGCAAAAUCCCUACAUUGACUCAUUCCUACAUGUCAUUACGACUCGUCUGCUUAGAAUAAGUAGAAACAUCACUAUGCAAUACUGUGUUUCCAAGAUUUGAUUUUAUGCUGCUGUUCUAUUUACAAUUUCGCAAGACUUAGAUGUAAUGGCAAAUCUGACUAAUACAGUUUCGUGCAGUAGUUUUCCUGAAAACACAGAUCGAUGUGAAACGGUGAUCACAAUCCGUAAAGUUGCAGGGGCAUUUUCACUUACAGGAUGUUUAUUUAUGAUAGCUGUCAUCUGGUUGUUCCGGAAGUAUGUUGUGUUUGCUCAGAGGAUGAUUUUAUAUUUAAGUAUUGGAGCCCUUCUUGACAGCAUUGCAUAUCUUAUGAGCAACACUAUUGAAGAUGGACCACUUUGUGACUUCCAAGCUUGGUGGCUCACCUUCUUUGAUUGGACAGUACUUCUGUGGGUAGCAUGUAUCACCUUCAAUCUUUACAUGAAUGUGGUCCGCGCCACUUCUACUGAGCGCUUUGAAGGGGUUUACCAUAUAGUGUGCUGGGGUCUUCCUCUGUGCAUGUCGCUUUUGCCAUUCAUCAAUGAUCACUAUGGACCUGCUGGAGCUUGGUGCUGGAUUGUGGAGGACAUUGCUUGGAGAUUGGGGAUCUGGUAUGCACCAUUAUUUCUUAUCAUCGUCCUGCUCUUUGCUGCUUACAUCUACAUCAUCUUAACUUUGUCCAGAAAGGCUAGCACCUGGGAAGGCACUUAUGACCCAGACACAGAAAGAAAUCAUCAAAUGCUGCGGGAGGAUAUCAAACCUCUGCGUCUCUACCCUUUUGUAUAUCUUAUCGUCUCCAUCUUUCCCCUCAUUAACAGGAUUCAAAAUGCCUUUGCCCCCCACAACCACGUGUUUGCACUCGUGGUGCUAGCUUGCCUGUCAGCGCCUCUUCAUGGUGCAUUGAAUGCCCUGGUGUUUGGAAUGGAUAGGGAGACAUUGAAGAAACUGACACCCAUGCAAAUUAUGACUGCACUUCAAGCUCGUGUCCACCCUCAGGAAGUUCGUGAAUAUCCUCUUGCAGUUGGCCACCUUGAUGACCUUGAAGCCACUCCUGAUAAUUCCAAGUUUAGACAUGUGGCUUACACCCGCUUGCACUGACAGUGAUGUGGUGCGACGGGGAAAACAGGGUCAUCAUUUGAGAAGAAAAUCAUGUAGAUGUCUUCCAACACUUACUUGUUGACUCAUUUUAACAGCAUAUUAUUUUCUACCUAUUCACUACAACAAUUGCAUUGCGCAGCAAGUUCACACCUCGUGCUAAAGUUUUAGAAUAUCCACAUUUAUCUUCCUCUCCAUCAACACAGGACUUUCCCUCAGAAUGUUUUCCAACAGAUCCAUGAUUCAGGGAUAAACUUGGUUAUCU
Molecule: unclassified non-coding RNA, 1471 nt
Filed under: Pomacea canaliculata
Lineage: Eukaryota; Metazoa; Mollusca; Gastropoda; Architaenioglossa; Ampullariidae
Description: cyclic AMP receptor-like protein A, transcript variant X3
Source: RNAcentral